UACAGAGGUCUCAAGCGUUGUUCGGAUUCAUUGGGCGUAAAGGGUGCGUAGGUGGCGCCGUAAGUCGGGUGUGAAAUUUCGGAGCUUAACUCCGAAACUGCAUUCGAUACUGCGGUGCUUGAGGACUGGAGAGGAGACUGGAAUUCAUGGUGUAGCAGUGAAAUGCGUAGAGAUCAUGAGGAAGACCAGUGGCGAAGGCGGGUCUCUGGACAGUUCCUGACACUGAGGCACGAAGGCCAGGGGAGCGAACGGG
This 253-nucleotide ribosomal RNA is filed under the name uncultured bacterium. RNAcentral's name for it is "partial 16S ribosomal RNA". It matches the Rfam family "Bacterial small subunit ribosomal RNA", at positions 524 to 776 of the family's 1533-position model. The record is from RNAcentral.